GGACUACUGGGGUAUCUAAUCCUGUUUGCUCCCCUUGCUCUCGCGCCUCAGCGUCAGUUAUUAGCUAGAAAACCGCUUUCGCCACAGGUGUUCUUCCACAUAUCUACGCAUUUCACCGCUACACGUGGAAUUCCGUUUUCUCCGCCAAUCCUCUAGAUUUAUAGUUUCAAAUGCAGCUCCGAGUUUGAGCCCCGGAAUUUCACAUCUGACUUAUACAUCCGCCUACGCGCCCUUUACGCCCAAUAAUUCCGAUUAAUGCUUGCACCCUCCGUAUUACCGCGGCUGCUGGCAC
This 292-nucleotide ribosomal RNA is filed under the name uncultured bacterium. RNAcentral's name for it is "partial 16S ribosomal RNA". The record is from RNAcentral.